This 660-nucleotide ribosomal RNA is filed under the name uncultured bacterium. RNAcentral describes it as "bacterial SSU rRNA". It matches the Rfam family "Bacterial small subunit ribosomal RNA", at positions 94 to 788 of the family's 1533-position model. The record is from RNAcentral.
AGUGGCGGACGGGUGAGUAACGCGUGAGAAUCUGCCUUGGGGUCGGGGACAACCACUGGAAACGGUGGCUAAUACCGGAUAAGCCGAUUGGUGAAAGAUUUAUUGCCCGAAGAGGAGCUCGCGUCUGAUUAGCUAGUUGGUGAGGUAAGAGCUCACCAAGGCAGCGAUCAGUAGCUGGUCUGAGAGGACGAUCAGCCACACUGGGACUGAGACACGGCCCAGACUCCUACGGGAGGCAGCAGUGGGGAAUUUUCCGCAAUGGGCGAAAGCCUGACGGAGCAAGACCGCGUGAGGGAGGAAGGCUCUUGGGUUGUAAACCUCUUUUCUCAGGGAAGAAGCUCUGACGGUACCUGAGGAAUCAGCCUCGGCUAACUCCGUGCCAGCAGCCGCGGUAAUACGGAGGAGGCAAGCGUUAUCCGGAAUUAUUGGGCGUAAAGCGUCCGCAGGUGGCAAUUCAAGUCUGCUGUCAAAGCACGGGGCUUAACUCCGUUAAGGCAGUGGAAACUGAAUGGCUAGAGUGCCGUAGGGGUAGAGGGAAUUCCCGGUGUAGCGGUGAAAUGCGUAGAGAUCGGGAAGAACAUCGGUGGCGAAAGCGCUCUACUGGACGGCAACUGACACUCAGGGACGAAAGCUAGGGGAGCGAAUGGGAUUAGAUACCCC